RNAcentral lists this ribosomal RNA (242 nucleotides) under uncultured bacterium. Its description in RNAcentral is "partial 16S ribosomal RNA". It matches the Rfam family "Bacterial small subunit ribosomal RNA", at positions 535 to 776 of the family's 1533-position model. The record is from RNAcentral.
CAAGCGUUAAUCGGAAUCACUGGGCUUAAAGGGUGCGCAGGCGGACCUGUAAGUCAGUGGUGAAAGCCCGCAGCUCAACUGCGGAAUUGCCAUUGAAACUGCCAGGCUUGAAUCUGGUUGAAGUGGGCGGAAUAUAUCAUGUAGCGGUGAAAUGCUUAGAUAUGAUGUAGAACACCGAUUGCGAAGGCAGCUCACUAAGCCAACAUUGACGCUGAGGCACGAAAGCGUGGGGAGCGAACAGG